Molecule: transfer RNA, 104 nt
Filed under: Moesziomyces antarcticus
Lineage: Eukaryota; Fungi; Basidiomycota; Ustilaginomycetes; Ustilaginales; Ustilaginaceae
Description: transfer RNA-Pseudo(AGG)
Source: RNAcentral
GGGCCAAUCGUAUAGUGGCUUAUUAUGCUGUCUUAGGGCAUUGCCUCCUUCGGGAGGUCGCACUAAGUUGACAGAGGUCCCCGGUUCGAUUCCGGGUUGGCCCC